RNAcentral lists this ribosomal RNA (321 nucleotides) under uncultured eukaryote. Its description in RNAcentral is "partial 18S ribosomal RNA". It matches the Rfam family "Eukaryotic small subunit ribosomal RNA", at positions 1470 to 1796 of the family's 1831-position model. The record is from RNAcentral.
CCCUUAGACGUUCUGGGCCGCACGCGCGCUACACUGACCAGUGCAACAAGCAUCCGUCCUUGGCCGACAGGCCCGGGCAAUCUUUGAACGCUGGUCGUGAUGGGGAUAGACCUUUGCAAUUAUGGGUCUUCAACGAGGAAUUCCUAGUAAACGCAAGUCAUCAGCUUGCAUUGAUUACGUCCCUGCCCUUUGUACACACCGCCCGUCGCACCUACCGAUUGAAUGGUCCGGUGAAAUCUCGGGACGGCGGCUUGGUCGCUUGCGUCCGACUGCUGAAACUUGAUUAAACCAUAUCAUUUAGAGGAAGGUGAAGUCGUAACA